GCACGGAGUUAGCCGGAGCUUAUUCUCCAGGUACUGUCAUUAUCAUCCCUGGCAAAAGAGCUUUACAACCCUAAGGCCUUCAUCACUCACGCGGCAUUGCUGGAUCAGGCUUUCGCCCAUUGUCCAAUAUUCCCCACUGCUGCCUCCCGUAGGAGUCUGGGCCGUGUCUCAGUCCCAGUGUGGCUGAUCAUCCUCUCAGACCAGCUAAGGAUCGUCGCCUUGGUGAGCCUUUACCUCACCAACUAGCUAAUCCUACGCGGGCUCAUCCCUGGGCGAUAAAUCUUUGGUCCGAAGACAUCAUCCGGUAUUAGCAGUCAUUUCUAACUGUUAUUCCGAACCCAAGGGCAGAUUCCCACGCGUUACGCACCCGUGCGCCACUAGACCCGAAGGUCUCGUUCGACUUGCAUGUGUUAGGCAUGCCGCCAGCGUUCGUU
RNAcentral lists this ribosomal RNA (434 nucleotides) under uncultured bacterium. RNAcentral describes it as "partial 16S rRNA". The record is from RNAcentral.